Molecule: unclassified non-coding RNA, 312 nt
Filed under: uncultured Russulales
Lineage: Eukaryota; Fungi; Basidiomycota; Agaricomycetes; Agaricales
Description: sequence contains 5.8S rRNA gene, ITS2, 28S rRNA gene
Source: RNAcentral
AACGCACCUUGCACCCUUUGGUAUUCCGAGGGGUACACCCGUUUGAGUGUCGUGAUAUUCUCAAACCUUCUUGGUUUCUUGACCAGGAAGGCUUUGGACUUUGGAGGCUUUUGCUGGCCUUCCCUUGUUGGAGCCAGCUCCUCUGAAAUGAAUUAGUGGGGUCUGCUUUGCUCAACCUUGACGUGAUAAGAUGGUUACUACGUCUUUGGGUUUUGCACUGUCGCUCUUAAAUCCUGCUUCUAACUGUCUCAUAGAAGACAAUGUUCGACAAACCUUGACCUCAAAUCGGGUGAGACUACCCGCUGAACUUAA